GUGUCAGCAGCCGCGGUAAAACGUAGGAGGCGAGCGUUAUCCGGAUUCACUGGGCGUAAAGCGCGCGUAGGCGGUUAGGCAAGUCGGGUGUUAAAGCCCCUGGCUCAACUGGGGGAGGUCAUUCGAUACUGCUUGGCUUGAGGGUGAGAGAGGAAAGUGGAAUUCCCGGUGUAGCGGUGGAAUGCGUAGAGAUCGGGAGGAACACCAGUGGCGAAGGCGGCUUUCUGGCUCACUUCUGACGCUGAUAGCGCGAAAGCGUGGGGAGCAAACGGGAUUAGAUACCCCGGUAGUCCACGCUCUAAACGAUGAGGGCUGGGUGUUGGCAGGGUUUCCUGUCUGUGCCGAAGCAAACGCGUUAAGCCCUCCGCCUGGGGACUACGAACGCAAGUUUAAA
Molecule: ribosomal RNA, 394 nt
Filed under: uncultured bacterium
Lineage: Bacteria
Description: bacterial SSU rRNA
Rfam family: Bacterial small subunit ribosomal RNA
Source: RNAcentral